GCCAGUGGCGAUGGCACGUUGAACAUACCGGUUCCCCAUGGAUCAACGAAGAUUAGCAACGGUACGCGUGGUUAGUAUCCGGAUGAGUGACCAUCUAGGCAAACGAGUGCAGCUGGCU
RNAcentral lists this ribosomal RNA (118 nucleotides) under Diaphorina citri (Asian citrus psyllid). The record is from RNAcentral. Lineage: Eukaryota; Metazoa; Arthropoda; Insecta; Hemiptera; Psyllidae.